AUUGAACGCUGGCGGCAGGCCUAACACAUGCAAGUCGAGCGGAUGAAGGGAGCUUGCUCCUGGAUUCAGCGGCGGACGGGUGAGUAAUGCCUAGGAAUCUGCCUGGUAGUGGGGGAUAACGUCCGGAAACGGGCGCUAAUACCGCAUACGUCCUGAGGGAGAAAGUGGGGGAUCUUCGGACCUCACGCUAUCAGAUGAGCCUAGGUCGGAUUAGCUAGUUGGUGGGGUAAAGGCCUACCAAGGCGACGAUCCGUAACUGGUCUGAGAGGAUGAUCAGUCACACUAGAACUGAGACACGGUCCAGACUCCUAAGGGAGGCAGCAGAGGGGAAUGUUGGACAAUGGGCGAGAGCAUGAUACAGCCAUGCCGCGUGUGUGAAGAAGGUCUUCGGAUUGUAAAGAACUUUAAGUUGGGAGGAAGGGCAGUAAGUUAAUACCUUGCUGUUUUGACGUUACCAACAGAAUAAGCACCGGCUAACUUCGUG
Molecule: ribosomal RNA, 484 nt
Filed under: uncultured bacterium
Lineage: Bacteria
Description: partial 16S ribosomal RNA
Rfam family: Bacterial small subunit ribosomal RNA
Source: RNAcentral